Molecule: long non-coding RNA, 232 nt
Filed under: Elaeis guineensis (African oil palm)
Lineage: Eukaryota; Viridiplantae; Streptophyta; Magnoliopsida; Arecales; Arecaceae
Description: long non-coding RNA (EGUI_LNC048610)
Source: RNAcentral
UAUAAUCAGUACAAUCGUCAAACAAUUGAUUUUAGGACACAAUUUCCAAUAACUCCCACUUAGACUAAAGCCAAUUAGUAUAGUAUCAUAUAUUCAUCUUCGAUUUAUCAUCUUAGUGAAGGAACCAGAUCUAGGGUUUCAGGGUUAGAUCUUGAAACUUUUUCAAGAUCAUACAGCGGAAGACUAAAAUAAAUCAAAAUUUAUUUUCUAAAACUAGAGAAUUCCUAGAUCU